RNA transcript from Dreissena polymorpha, 3489 nucleotides. RefSeq lists it as uncharacterized. The transcript is spliced from 6 exons. The record is from RefSeq and is a predicted model, not a curated record. Lineage: Eukaryota; Metazoa; Mollusca; Bivalvia; Myida; Dreissenidae.
AAACCUACCAACCGGGGAAAAUCGUAUGAAUACACACCAACAAACCGGGGAACACCUACCAACCGGGGAAUUCCCCGGUUGGUUUUAGGCGAAAAACUCUAAUCUACGUGAAUGAAAUACCAAACUGUCAAUUUAAAUUAGAAAUCCAACGCCUUCCCCGAUUAGCGGGUUUGUGGCAUGCACAAAAUAUACACAAAUCUUGACCAUAUUACAAUCGAGUGUGUAUCCAGGCUUAUAACAGUUCCCCGGUUGCGCUGUUUAAAAAUCAUACACUCGGUAUUUAUAUCAUUUAGUGAAAGUCAGUUGGAAAAAUGGAGUUUCGAGCGAACAAACGCAUUAAACUAAGGCAACACAAUGACUACUAGAUCUACGGACAGCCAGGAACCAGGACAAACAACAUCCGUACACACGGAAGAAGUCGAUGAGACGAGUACCGAAACUAAAGAACAUAGCGACACUGCACACGAGUACAAUUCACAAGAUGCAGCAGAAAAUAUGUUGAACAGUGAAUCAUCGGAUAUCGAUGAUAGUGACAAUGACAAAGACUAUAUUCCGGAAGAAGGCGAUGCAUCGUCAGAUGAGUCGAUAGUUGUCGAACUCAUACCAAACAUUCAAAGAUUUCAAAAGAAGACAGCGUCAACACUACCUCCUGUUGAAUCCUUGCAAUCUCGUGAACGUGACGAAUCAUCCGCAGAGGCACACAAAACCAACAUCACCAUCGCUUAAACAAAUAACAGUGAAUACAGACAUUACGAUAAGAGAUUUUAUUGCAUGUUUUGCGAAAAGGCUCAAACAAAACUAAAAAAAACAUUUGCUUUCGCAGCAUAAAGAUGGGCAAGAUGUGAAAGAUCUAUUAAAUACGGAAAAUUCAGCAGAAAAUAAAAAAAUGUAUGAUAAAAUAAGGAACGUUGGGAACCAUCUCCAUAAUGUUUAAGUAUUGUGAGAUGGCCAAGGACAGCUGUUUGUGUCAUACAGACAACGUCACAAUCAACGCGUAGCUGCAGACGAGUAUGGACCUUGUCCUUACUGUUACGGGUAUUACCCGAAGAAAAUCCUGUGGAGGCACACUCAAAAAUUUAAGUUUACAAAUGCGGCGGGAUCAAGAAAACGACUCGCUUUAGAGAGCAGCCUGCUAUUACCAAAAUCAAAAGAAGGAAGCACUAUUUUAAGACGAGAAAUCGAGUCCAUGAGAAACGACGAAAUAAGUCGCAAAGUCAAAAGUGAUAAUACAAUCCUUGCAUUCGGUGAAAAACUCUGUACAAAAAGGGGCCAUGAUGAAGAGCAACACAAUUAUAUUAGACAGAAGUUAAGAGAAGUUAGAUUGCUGAAAGACAUGCGAUCUUGUUCAGGCAAUGUUGAAAAGUCUUUGGAGAAUUUCAUGUAUCCCGAUGCUUUCAAAUUUAUUACACAAUCUUGCAAAAACGUUGCAGGCUUCGACGGAAACACCAAUACUUAUGCUACACCAUCAUUAGCCUUACAGAUUGGCACGCUUCAGAAAUGUCUAAAAAUUCUAAUUUCGAAAGGAAUCGAAACAAACAACCAGGAUCUGCAAACAAGGGCUGAGGAGCUUUCCAAACUAUUUCAAAUUAAUUGGACGGAUGACGUGUCUUCCAAUGCCUUAAGAACACUUCAUGAGGCUAAGCAGAACAGUCAGAAAGAACUGUUGCCAUUGGCAAAUGAUGUCAAAGUAAUGUCUGAAUACUUACGACAUAAAGCAGAAACACAUGCAAAUACCUUACAAGAAUCAGCAAGUAAUUGCGAGAAAAGGCAAGCAUGGCAUAAGUUGUCUGAAAGCUGCUUGUGUUUAAUCGAAACGAUCAGGCGAUGUGUCAAAAAUGACAGUCGAAGAAUAUUAAAAAAACAAAUCGACAAAUGACGAUGGAGAAUUAGAUGGAUGUUUAACAAAACUGGAAAAAAACCUGUGCCGUUAUUUUUACCGUACAGAGAUUAUUGCAAAACGAGGUCGAAAUAGCUGCAGUACUGUUUCCAAGACAGGUGAAAGAAAAUAUCGACCUGCUCAUACGCAGCAGAAAUUCUCUAACAAACUGUUUAAAUAGUAAAUAUCUUUUCCCAACAAAAUCUGCAUCAUCGCCUAUUCGUGGGACAGAUGUAUUACGUUCAAUUGCAAUUGACUGUGGAGCUGAACAUCCGAAAAGGCUUCGUUCUACAAAGUUAAGGAAACAUAUUGCCACAAUGACUCAGCUUUUUAACUUGUCUGAAAAUGAAAUAGACAUUCUAGCUAAAUUUCUUGGUCACGACAUUCGGGUACAUAGAGAAUUCUACAGAUUACCAGAUGGAACCAUGCAGGUUGCCAAAGUCAGCAAGCUGCUUAUGAUGAUGGAAAGUGGACAAAUUACCAGAAAUUCUGUCAAUUUGCUAGACGAUAUUGAUGUGGACGACGAAUGUAUUGUAGAAAAUGAAAAUACUGAAGACCUUGAAACUCUGCUUCCCAGCACCAGUCAACCAAAAAUAACAGACAAAGAAAAGGGUACUUCAAAUACCAGAAGAACAAAACAAGCAGCCAAAAAGCAACGGAGUGAAGACGAAAACAGGAGCUGUUCACAGACACUUAGAUCGUUUUUUGAUAAUUGGUAAAUUACCAGGGAAAAAAUCAUUACUUGCAUGUAUUGAAAGUGAGAAUGACCUUCACAACAGAAGUUGGAAAAAUGUCAAAGACUUUUGCAUAAAUUUAAUUGAAACAAAAAAGCGACGGGGACUUUUAACUUAAAAAAAUAUAACUCAUAUAAUGCACAUUUAGGAGAAUACGUUAAAGGAUGAAGUUGCCACAUGUGUUUUGUGUGUUUUCUUGUUCUAUAUACUCUUUUCGAAAACGAUAUAUGUGUGCUUAUUGUAUUUGAAUGUUUUAUUAAUACGGUUCAGUCAAACACGAUAUUUGUUCAUAAUCAUAUCGCCGAACCAAUUAGGAUUGGUAUAUAGUUCGGCCAAAGAGUGUUUCUUUGUACUUUCAAUUACGAGUUUCUACGAGUUACUCACUAUACAAGUUAUUUUUUACCCCAAACUUGGUGAAUAUGAAUGAAUAUAGCAAACAUGAUAGCAAAUCAAUCUAGAAGGCUAAACGUUCAGAGAAGGCACAAAAAAAUUCAGUCGGAUAAAUGGAAACAAACAUUUUGUUCAAGCAUAACAAACAAACACUUUUAGAUAUAAUAAGAUAAAUGUAAAUAACAUAAAAAAACUACUGCUAAACUACUACUACAAUGUGAAGAAUACAAAUGAAUAUUUUGUCAAUUUUACAAAAUUUGUUUUGAAUGACAGGUGUCUGACUUGCAGUUGAGUACUUAAUAGUUAUUUUAAAGUAAAAUUUUACCAAUAUGUAAAUUAUUGCGUAAAUAUCGCACUAGAAUUGAUUAAAUAGUUGUUAAAUAUUACAAUAAUUUCCUACACAGACUUUUGUGCAUUUGUUUUGCGUGUAGAUAUUCACAUUAACUAUCAAUUCACAUAUUUGCUUUGUGUAUAUAAUUGGUAUGUUCA